ACUCCGUACGGGAGGCAGCUAGUGGGGAACUAUUGCACAAUGGGCGCAAGCCUGAUGCAGGCCAUGCCGCGUGUGUGAAGAAGGCCUUCGGGUUGUAAAGCACUUUUCAGUCGUGAGGAAGGUAGUGUACGUUAAUAGCUGCAUUAUUUGACGUUAGCGACAGAAGAAGCACCGGCUAACUCCGUGCCAGCAGCCGCGGUAAUACGGAGGGUGCGAGCGUUAAUCGGAAUUACUGGGCGUAAAGCGCAUGCAGGUGGUUUGUUAAGUCAGAUGUGAAAGCCCGGGGCUCAACCUCGGAUAGCAUUUGAAACUGGCAGACUAGAGUACUGUAGAGGGGGGUAGAUUUCAGGUGUAGCGGUGAAAUGCGUAGAGAUCUGAAGGAAUACCGGU
This 390-nucleotide ribosomal RNA is filed under the name uncultured bacterium. RNAcentral describes it as "bacterial SSU rRNA". It matches the Rfam family "Bacterial small subunit ribosomal RNA", at positions 335 to 713 of the family's 1533-position model. The record is from RNAcentral.